RNAcentral lists this ribosomal RNA (264 nucleotides) under uncultured bacterium. Its description in RNAcentral is "partial 16S ribosomal RNA". It matches the Rfam family "Bacterial small subunit ribosomal RNA", at positions 92 to 354 of the family's 1533-position model. The record is from RNAcentral.
CGACCGGCGCACGGGUGAGUAACACGUAUGCAACCUGGCCGCCACAGGGGGAUAACCCGCGGAAACGCGGCCUAAUACCCCGUGACGCCACCGGAGGGCAUCCUCCGGUGGCCAAAGGAGCGAUCCGGUGGCGGAUGGGCAUGCGGCGCAUUAGCUAGACGGCGGGGUGACGGCCCACCGUGGCGACGAUGCGUAGGGGUUCUGAGAGGAAGGCCCCCCACACUGGUACUGAGACACGGACCAGACUCCUACGGGAGGCAGCAG